RNAcentral lists this ribosomal RNA (329 nucleotides) under Moissonia punctata. Its description in RNAcentral is "partial 16S ribosomal RNA". The record is from RNAcentral. Lineage: Eukaryota; Metazoa; Arthropoda; Insecta; Hemiptera; Miridae.
UGGAAUGAAUGGUUGGAUGAGAAAUUUACUUUCUUUUAUUUAUACAUAAAAUUUGAUUUUUUAGUCAAAAAGCUUAAAUAUAAUUAUAGGACGAGAAGACCCUAUAGAACUUUACUUUUUAUAAUUUUAUAAUUUUUUUAAAAAUAAUUUUUUAUUAUUUUAUAAAAUGUUUUAUUGGGGCGAUAAAAAAAAAUUCUUAACUUUUUUUAUUUUAAUCAUUAAUUUAUGAUUUUUUGAUCCUUUAUUAAGGAAUAAAGAUUAAGUUACCUUAGGGAUAACAGCGUUAUUAUUUUGGAGAGUUCUUAUUGAUAAAAUAGUUUGCCACCUCG